AAUGAACGUUGGCGGCGUGGAUUAGGCAUGCAAGUCGUACGCAUAGCUUCGGCUAUGAGUGGCGCAAGGGUGAGUAAUGCGAAGGUAACCAACCCUGGUGUUGGGCAUAGCCGCGGGAAACUGCGGGUAAUUCCCAGCGACGUCACGAGAUGGCAUCAUCUUGUGACCAAAGGUGUGAUUCCGCUCUAGGACGGGCCUUCGUGGUAUUAGGUAGUUGGUGAGGUAACGGCUCACCAAGCCGACGAUGCCUACCGGGUGUGAGAGCAUGACCCGGCACACUGGAACUGAGACACUGUCCAGACACCUACGGGUGGCUGCAGUCGAGAAUCUUCGGCAAUGGGCGAAAGCCUGACCGAGCGACGCCGCGUGAGGGAUUGAAGGCCUUCGGGUUAUAAACCUCUUCGUAGAGAAGGAGGGCCGUGAAGAACGGUCUUUGACCUAUUCUAGGAAGAAGCUUGGGCUAAGUUCGUGCCAGCAGCCGCGGUAAU
This 488-nucleotide ribosomal RNA is filed under the name uncultured bacterium. RNAcentral describes it as "bacterial SSU rRNA". It matches the Rfam family "Bacterial small subunit ribosomal RNA", at positions 29 to 524 of the family's 1533-position model. The record is from RNAcentral.